RNAcentral lists this unclassified non-coding RNA (1236 nucleotides) under Priapulus caudatus. RNAcentral's name for it is "uncharacterized LOC106819877, transcript variant X1". The record is from RNAcentral. Lineage: Eukaryota; Metazoa; Priapulida; Priapulimorpha; Priapulimorphida; Priapulidae.
ACAUAAAUAAGGUUACCAAAAAGUGAGCUUGAUCCCUGUCAAAUUUCAGAAGCUCAUCUGACGAGCCACUGCUGACGACCACAAGGCAGUCUACAGCAUCAAUGAACACAUCUACAAUGAUACUGACCCUCUCUCCGGUGAAAAGCUCUACCAACAUCACCUGACACGUCCCUACAACUACGCAUACAUAGCCGUGAUAGACGGGAGAGCUGUUGCCUUUGACCUGUUCACAUUUCAUGAAGCCAGCAAAACUCUGAUAGGCCGGUUUGCUAGAGUCUGUCCUGAUAACCAGAUCAAAAACCUUCACCGGCAUUUAACAGCACAUGGUGUUAAAGACGUCCUCUCGAAGCGCAACGACAUCAAAGAAAUAAUCUACAUGAAGGGGAAUGAUGGACCCAAGGCAAAACUGUGGCCAAACCACGCACUCAUUGACAUAUUCCAUGCGUCUAUGUUUAAUUUUACUCCUGCACGAGACUUGCUCACAAGAUGCCAACGGAUAACCAGCUUGCUACCAUGGCAACUGACUGAAGCCAAUAGCAAGCAGAAGUUCGAGCUGCUCACUUGUUCCAGCAUUGGCAGACAGCUCGAUGGUAGUGAACGAGUAACUAUUGACCAGAUACCAUACAUGACGACUCCCGGCAAUUAUAGCAUCAUCAUGGAGAAUGAAAACCCACAUGUAAUAGUAGAGCUAUUCGAUGGCCGUUAUGUAUCCGUGAGUUUUGGUUCUGUGCGCGGCGUUUCUGACCCUAGUAACUACGUGCACACAACGUCUAUAGCAAAGAUGCAGAGACGGUCAUUGCUCAUGCAUACCGACAAAUAGCAGACGUUGCCAAACAAAACCCAGAUAAAGAGAUAUUUUUCCAUCUAAUGACAAACGUCUGUUUCACACUGGAACCAAAACAUAGAAAUGAAAUUAACGAUGCUAUGCACAAGCUUGGAUUGUGUUCAGUUAAAUACGCGCACUAUAAUGAUCUUCACGUCCUGGCUGGAGCACGUCUUUCACUGUAUGAACCACACCACCUCCCUAGCAGAUGGAACAGAGGUGGUAACAACGGCAUAACCACGGAUGAUUGCACCGUUGAAAUAACAGUACUGCUGUUUGAACAUGUUCAUCUAUGGCAGCACGGAAAUAUUGAAAUGUCAAAUGAAUGAGCGAUCUGCUAGAUUUAUAGAUUUAAACUUAUUUGCAAUUACCUGGAACACUCUAUCGUUACGAAUAAAUGCUAAAAUAACUAA